UGUAUAUCAACUGAUCCACAGU
This 22-nucleotide microRNA is filed under the name Echinops telfairi (small Madagascar hedgehog). The record is from RNAcentral. Lineage: Eukaryota; Metazoa; Chordata; Mammalia; Afrosoricida; Tenrecidae.